RNAcentral lists this ribosomal RNA (364 nucleotides) under uncultured bacterium. RNAcentral's name for it is "partial 16S ribosomal RNA". It matches the Rfam family "Bacterial small subunit ribosomal RNA", at positions 355 to 713 of the family's 1533-position model. The record is from RNAcentral.
UGGGGGAUAUUGCACAAUGGGCGCAAGCCUGAUGCAGCGACGCCGCGUGAGGGAUGACGGCUUUCGGGUUGUAAACCUCUUUCGCUACUGAACAAGGCCCUGCUUGUUGUGGGGUUGAGGGUAGGUGGAUAAGAAGCGCCGGCUAACUACGUGCCAGCAGCCGCGGUAAAUACGUAGGGCGCGAGCGUUGUCCGGAAUUAUUGGGCGUAAAGAGCUCGUAGGCGGCUUGUCGCGUCUGCUGUGAAAAACGCGGGGCUUAACUGCCGCGCGUGCAGUGGGUACGGGCAGGCUAGAGUGUGGUAGGGGUGAUUGGAAUUNGCCUGGUGUAUGCGGUGGAAUGCGCAGAUAUCAGGAGGACACCGAU